UCGGUGGGGGAUUAGUGGCGAACGGGUGAGUAACACGUGGGCAAUCUGCCCUUCACUCUGGGACAAGCCCUGGAAACGGGGUCUAAUACCGGAUACGACCACUGAAGGCAUCCUCAGUGGUGGAAAGCUCCGGCGGUGAAGGAUGAGCCCGCGGCCUAUCAGCUUGUUGGUGGGGUAAUGGCCUACCAAGGCGACGACGGGUAGCCGGCCUGAGAGGGCGACCGGCCACACUGGGACUGAGACACGGCCCAGACUCCUACGGGAGGCAGCAGUGGGGAAUAUUGCACAAUGGGCGAAAGCCUGAUGCAGCGACGCCGCGUGAGGGAUGACGGCCUUCGGGUUGUAAACCUCUUUCAGCAGGGAAGAAGCGAAAGUGACGGUACCUGCAGAAGAAGCGCCGGCUAACUACGUGCCAGCAGCCGCGGUAAUACGUAGGGCGCAAGCGUUGUCCGGAAUUAUUGGGCGUAAAGAGCUCGUAGGCGGCUUGUCACGUCGGAUGUGAAAGCCCGGGGCUUAACCCCGGGUCUGCAUUCGAUACGGGCAGGCUAGAGUGUGGUAGGGGAGAUCGGAAUUCCUGGUGUAGCGGUGAAAUGCGCAGAUAUCAGGAGGAACACCGGUGGCGAAGGCGGAUCUCUGGGCCAUUACUGACGCUGAGGAGCGAAAGCGUGGGGAGCGAACAGGAUUAGAUACCCUGGUAGUCCACGCCGUAAACGUUGGGAACUAGGUGUUGGCGACAUUCCACGUCGUCGGUGCCGCAGCUAACGCAUUAAGUUCCCCGCCUGGGGAGUACGGCCGCAAGG
RNAcentral lists this ribosomal RNA (800 nucleotides) under Streptomyces gobitricini. Its description in RNAcentral is "bacterial SSU rRNA". It matches the Rfam family "Bacterial small subunit ribosomal RNA", at positions 80 to 893 of the family's 1533-position model. The record is from RNAcentral. Lineage: Bacteria; Bacillati; Actinomycetota; Actinomycetes; Kitasatosporales; Streptomycetaceae.